RNAcentral lists this ribosomal RNA (1018 nucleotides) under uncultured bacterium. RNAcentral's name for it is "bacterial SSU rRNA". It matches the Rfam family "Bacterial small subunit ribosomal RNA", at positions 357 to 1376 of the family's 1533-position model. The record is from RNAcentral.
AGGAAUAUUGGUCAAUGGCCGAGAGGCUGAACCAGCCAAGUCGCGUGAAGGAAGAAGGAUCUAUGGUUUGUAAACUUCUUUUAUAGGGGAAUAAAGUGGAGGACGUGUCCUUUUUUGUAUGUACCCUAUGAAUAAGCAUCGGCUAACUCCGUGCCAGCAGCCGCGGUAAUACGGAGGAUGCGAGCGUUAUCCGGAUUUAUUGGGUUUAAAGGGUGCGUAGGUGGUGAUUUAAGUCAGCGGUGAAAGUUUGUGGCUCAACCAUAAAAUUGCCGUUGAAACUGGGUUACUUGAGUGUGUUUGAGGUAGGCGGAAUGCGUGGUGUAGCGGUGAAAUGCAUAGAUAUCACGCAGAACUCCGAUUGCGAAGGCAGCUUACUAAACCAUAACUGACACUGAAGCACGAAAGCGUGGGGAUCAAACAGGAUUAGAUACCCUGGUAGUCCACGCAGUAAACGAUGAUUACUAGGAGUUUGCGAUACAAUGUAAGCUCUACAGCGAAAGCGUUAAGUAAUCCACCUGGGGAGUACGCCGGCAACGGUGAAACUCAAAGGAAUUGACGGGGGCCCGCACAAGCGGAGGAACAUGUGGUUUAAUUCGAUGAUACGCGAGGAACCUUACCCGGGUUUGAACGUAGUCUGACCGGAGUGGAAACACUCUUUCUAGCAAUAGCAGAUUACGAGGUGCUGCAUGGUUGUCGUCAGCUCGUGCCGUGAGGUGUCGGCUUAAGUGCCAUAACGAGCGCAACCCUUAUCACUAGUUACUAACAGGUGAAGCUGAGGACUCUGGUGAGACUGCCAGCGUAAGCUGUGAGGAAGGUGGGGAUGACGUCAAAUCAGCACGGCCCUUACAUCCGGGGCGACACACGUGUUACAAUGGCAUGGACAAAGGGCAGCUACCUGGUGACAGGAUGCUAAUCUCCAAACCAUGUCUCAGUUCGGAUCGGAGUCUGCAACUCGACUCCGUGAAGCUGGAUUCGCUAGUAAUCGCGCAUCAGCCAUGGCGCGGUGAAUACGUUCCCG